CCUACGGGUGGCAGCAGUGGGGAAUAUUGGGCAAUGGGCGCAAGCCUGACCCAGCAACGCCGCGUGAAGGAAGAAGGCUUUCGGGUUGUAAACUUCUUUUCUCAGGGACGAAGAAAGUGACGGUACCUGAGGGAUAAGCCACGGCUAACUACGUGCCAGCAGCCGCGGGAAUACGUAGGUGGCAAGCGUGAUCCGGAUUUAUUGGGUGUAAAGGGCGUGUAGGCGGGAGCGCAAGUCAGAUGUGAAAACUCAGGGAUCAACCCUGAGCCUGCCUUUGACACUGGGUUUCUUGAGUGCUGGAGAGGCAAUCGGAAUGCCGGGUGUAGCGGUGAAAUGCGUAGAUAUACGGAGGAACACCAGUGGCGAAGGCGGAUUGCUGGACAGUAACUGACGCUGAGGCGCGAAAGCGUGGGGAGCAAACAGGAUUAGAUACCCCUGUAGUC
RNAcentral lists this ribosomal RNA (443 nucleotides) under uncultured bacterium. RNAcentral describes it as "partial 16S ribosomal RNA". It matches the Rfam family "Bacterial small subunit ribosomal RNA", at positions 338 to 795 of the family's 1533-position model. The record is from RNAcentral.